This 514-nucleotide ribosomal RNA is filed under the name uncultured bacterium. Its description in RNAcentral is "bacterial SSU rRNA". It matches the Rfam family "Bacterial small subunit ribosomal RNA", at positions 32 to 518 of the family's 1533-position model. The record is from RNAcentral.
AACGCUGGCGGCGUGCCUAAUACAUGCAAGUCGAACGGUCUUUCUAUGGAAGCUUGCUUCCACUGAGAAGAUAGUGGCGAACGGGUGAGUAACACGUGGGUAACCUGCCCAUAAGAGGGGGGAUAACAUCCGGAAACGGGUGCUAAUACCGCAUAGUUUUCUUGAUUGCAUGAUUGAGAAAGGAAAGACGGCCUUUGUGCUGUCGCUUAUGGAUGGACCCGCGGCGUAUUAGUUAGUUGGUGAGGUAACGGCUCACCAAGACGAUGAUACGUAGCCGACCUGAGAGGGUGAUCGGCCACAUUGGGACUGAGACACGGCCCAAACUCCUACGGGAGGCAGCAGUAGGGAAUCUUCCGCAAUGGACGAAAGUCUGACGGAGCAACGCCGCGUGAGUGAAGAAAGGUUUUCGGAUCGUAAAACUCUGUUGUCAGAGAAGAACAAGUUGGAGAGUAACUGCUCCAGCCUUGACGGUAUCUGACCAGAAAGCCACGGCUAACUACGUGCCAGCAGCGGC